AGGCUGCAACUCGCCUGCAUGAAGCGGAAUUGCUAGUAAUCGCGGAUCAGCAUGCCGCGGUGAAUACGUUCUCGGGCCUUGUACACACCGCCCGUCACACCAUGGGAGUCGGUAACACCCGAAGUCUGUAGCCUGACGCAAGAGGGCGCAGCCGAAGGUGGGAUUGAUGACUGGGGUGAAGUCGUAACAAGGUAUC
RNAcentral lists this ribosomal RNA (196 nucleotides) under uncultured bacterium. RNAcentral describes it as "partial 16S ribosomal RNA". It matches the Rfam family "Bacterial small subunit ribosomal RNA", at positions 1302 to 1500 of the family's 1533-position model. The record is from RNAcentral.